AGAACGAACGCUGGCGGCAUGCCUAAUACAUGCAAGUCGAACGAAGGCUUCGGCCUUAGUGGCGCACGGGUGCGUAACGCGUGGGAAUCUGCCCCUUGGUUCGGAAUAACAGUUGGAAACGACUGCUAAUACCGGAUGAUGACGAAAGUCCAAAGAUUUAUCGCCAAGGGAUGAGCCCGCGUAGGAUUAGCUAGUUGGUGAGGUAAAGGCUCACCAAGGCGACGAUCCUUAGCUGGUCUGAGAGGAUGAUCAGCCACACUGGGACUGAGACACGGCCCAGACUCCUACGGGAGGCAGCAGUAGGGAAUAUGGACAAUGGGCGAAAGCCUGAUCCAGCAAUGCCGCGUGAGUGAUGAAGGCCUUAGGGUUGCAAAGCUCUUUUACCCGAGAUGAUAAUGACAGUAUCGGAGAAUAAGCCCCGGCUAACUCCGUGCCAGCAGCUGC
Molecule: ribosomal RNA, 444 nt
Filed under: uncultured soil bacterium
Lineage: Bacteria
Description: bacterial SSU rRNA
Rfam family: Bacterial small subunit ribosomal RNA
Source: RNAcentral